UUACGGGAGGCAGCAGUGAGGAAUAUUGCGCAAUGGGGGCAACCCUGACGCAGCAACGCCGCGUGAGUGAGGAAGGUUUUCGGACCGUAAAGCUCUGUCGAGCGGGAAGAAAUGCAUGGUGGCUAAUAUCCAUCAUGCUUGACGGUACCGCUAAAGGAAGCACCGGCUAACUCCGUGCCAGCAGCCGCGGUAAUACGGGGGGUGCGAGCGUUGUUCGGAAUUAUUGGGCGUAAAGAGCGUGUAGGCGGCUGAAUAAGUCAGAUGUGAAAUCCCUGGGCUUAACCCAGGACGUGCAUUUGAAACUAUUCGGCUUGAGUAAGGGAGAGGAAAGUGGAAUUCCUGGUGUAGAGGUGAAAUUCGUAGAUAUCAGGAGGAACACCGGUGGCGAAGGCGACUUUCUGGCCCUAUACUGACGCUGAGACGCGAGAGCGUGGGUAGCAAACAGGAUUAGAUACCCUGGUAGG
Molecule: ribosomal RNA, 464 nt
Filed under: uncultured bacterium
Lineage: Bacteria
Description: bacterial SSU rRNA
Rfam family: Bacterial small subunit ribosomal RNA
Source: RNAcentral